UUAAAGGAACAGGAGGUCCGGAAUGCCUCCACAGCUCUUUGACUAUUGUGGCAAUUGUGUGCUAAAUGCAAAACAAAAGUCACAAAUCAGAUUUGA
This is a long non-coding RNA of Heteronotia binoei (common prickly gecko), 96 nucleotides long. RefSeq lists it as uncharacterized. The record is from RefSeq and is a predicted model, not a curated record. The transcript is spliced from 2 exons. Lineage: Eukaryota; Metazoa; Chordata; Lepidosauria; Squamata; Gekkonidae.